UGCGGAUUAGAGCAGUGGCAGCUCGCAAGGCUCAUAACCUUGAGGUCGUAGGUUCGAUUCCUACAUCCGCUA
This 72-nucleotide transfer RNA is filed under the name Planctomycetota bacterium. RNAcentral describes it as "Planctomycetes bacterium (activated sludge metagenome) tRNA-Met". It matches the Rfam family "tRNA". From Rfam's summary of the family: Transfer RNA (tRNA) molecules are approximately 80 nucleotides in length. Their secondary structure includes four short double-helical elements and three loops (D, anti-codon, and T loops). Lineage: Bacteria; Pseudomonadati; Planctomycetota. The record is from RNAcentral.